UACGGAGGAUGCGAGCGUUAUCCGGAUUUAUUGGGUUUAAAGGGUGCGUAGGCGGGCUUUUAAGUCAGCGGUAAAAAUUCGGGGCUCAACCCCGUCCGGCCGUUGAAACUGGGGGCCUUGAGUGGGCGUGAAGAAGGCGGAAUGCGUGGUGUAGCGGUGAAAUGCAUAGAUAUCACGCAGAACCCCGAUUGCGAAGGCAGCCUUCCGGCGCCCUACUGACGCUGAGGCACGAAAGUGCGGGGAUCGAACAGG
This 252-nucleotide ribosomal RNA is filed under the name uncultured bacterium. RNAcentral describes it as "partial 16S ribosomal RNA". It matches the Rfam family "Bacterial small subunit ribosomal RNA", at positions 524 to 776 of the family's 1533-position model. The record is from RNAcentral.